This 339-nucleotide ribosomal RNA is filed under the name uncultured Entrophospora. RNAcentral describes it as "eukaryotic LSU rRNA". The record is from RNAcentral. Lineage: Eukaryota; Fungi; Glomeromycota; Glomeromycetes; Entrophosporales; Entrophosporaceae.
GUGAAAUUGUUGAAAGGGAAACGAUUGAAGUCAGUCGUGCAGUCAUCGAUUCAACGGUUUAAAUUUGGGCUUUUGCUCAUGUUUGUCCGUGCAUUUUGGUGUCUGCUGGUCAGCGUCAAUUUCGAUUGUCAUAAAAAGGUCAAAGGGAUGUGGCUCCUUCGGGAGUGUUAUAACCUUUGGCGGAAUGUGGCGAUCGGGAUUGAGGUUUGCACGAUUAUAGUUUCCUGGCCUCUCAUCGACGUCUGAAUUGCGGAAGCUUGCUGAAGUGGUUUAGACCGUUUGUGAAAAGGUUGGAGCGACUAGAUCGUUAAGGAUGCUGACGUAAUGGCUUUAAACGAC